UACUGUUUGUCUUUUAUUUCCGCCCCUGCUUGGACCUGUUAGGUUUUCAAUUCAUCUAUGUAAAAAGGAAAAUCAAAGACUUUCGGUCUUCAAGUGGUCUUCGUGAAUGUUUUUCAAAAUGUUAGCCACUGUCCAGCAUUGGUCACCUAUCCAUCCCAUCUAUGAGAAUCCCUUAUGUACUUUCCCCAGGAAAAACUGAGAUUUAAAAUUUUCCCAGCCACCACUUCAAAGUAUAUGGGGUAAGCAACAUAUACAUGUUUGGGUGGAGUAUUCUUUUAAGGACAAUGUCAAAAUGUAAGCCCGGUCACUAUUUCGUCUGGAGCAUUGUUUGUGUGUCUUAUUUAUAUUAUAGACAUUUUGUGCAUUACUUUUAACAGUUUCUUACAAAAAAAUUUGUUUACUACCAUGUUUUUGUGAUUUUGGUGUCUUUUAUUGCUGUAUAAAUUAAUGCCUAAUUGCCUCUGUUCCAGAUUAGUGUUUUUAUAGAAGCCUGUUAUUUGAUCCAUCAAAGUCGCUGUUUAAAAGAAAACCCCAUUGAAAAUAGUCCUGUGGGAUGAAGUCUAAGCUUGAAGUUCUGUUCUUUAGUCAGUAGUUCAUCUUAGACGAUAGACAUUUACUACCUACUGAGCUUUAGAAUGGCAGAAAAAUGAAAUAAACUACAGAUAGACUAAAGAUGGUCAAAAUUAACAUGUUCUGAUGUUAACAGUUUGUGCUCCACAUGAAACGGUAAACAUGAUAAACAUGUUUAAAAUUGAAUUUAAAUCAAUGAAGGGGGAACCAAGAGUAAAUUGUGUGUUAAAAAUGCCCAUCAUAAAAAUAAUAAUCUUAUGUCAUAUACAUGACGUGAUUUUUUUUUUUUUUAUUCAAAGCUAAAAAUCCAGGUCCUAUAGUCUAAACUAGUAAGUUCUUGAUACAUUGCUGUGGUAAACUUGUAGAAUUCAGAUUUUAGAAGUAAAUCAGGGGCUUUAAAAAAUGGGGAGUCGGCCUAUGUGACAAAUGACACUGCUGCUGUUCAUUUACGGAUCAGUGGUGUUAGGUUACACAUUACAAUAUGGAAUCCUGACAAGUCAAGGUGAAUGCUAAAUUUUAAUUCUCAAGCAGAAAUGACCGACUCUCUAAAUAUCCUACCACCCUGCUCUGAUUCAGGAUUUCUUAGCACUAAUUUAUGUGUUCGGCCUUUUAGGACUGGUCUCCUCCAACUUUGUAUCACUGCACUCUUAAAAUUUUCAACCUAUUUGUUGUUGCCCACUUUCUCUGUCCUUCAGAUUAGAUGGUGCCAGGCUGAGUCUCACUUUCUUGAUUGGGUUGAGGACUGUUACAUUUUUAAAGCCACUCUUGUGUGGCUUACGUUGUAUUUGAUUUGGUCUGCUGCCAACUCCUUUUCCCCCUGGACUUGUGUCUGUGCAGAGAAGCGGGACACUGACACCUGUACACGUCAUGGCAGAAAUGUUACACUUGAGCUGUGGACAUCAAGACCAAAGACUCAAUAUUUGAUGAACGGAGUGCAAUGAAAGGCCAUCUUUCCACAAUAGAAACAACAUACCACAAGUAAGUGCUGAAGGCAUUUCCUGCGACUGUCCUUGUGUAUAGCAAGUCACUGAAGCGGAUGUUCAUUUCUGCACUCUUUUCAAUGUAUUCUGCUGUGACGGGGAGACAUUUUGAUUGUGCAUGUAACUCAGGUAUAUAUGAAACUGAACCUCAGCCAUUCAAGUGGUGUUCUGAUGGAGUGUGGGUUGAGAAACAGGGCAGUCCCACCUACUUUACUUUCUGCAAAAGUUAAUGGUGAUAUUUAUUCAUAUAAUAUUUUAUAUGCAGUAUAUAGUUGAUGUAUUUAUUGUAAUGCUUUUCAAAAAAGAAUUGUCAGAGGAUUAAUUGUACACAUGCAAGUAACAAUUUAAAUAAAGGAGAUAUGUGAAGAAG
Molecule: long non-coding RNA, 1920 nt
Organism: Polypterus senegalus (gray bichir)
Lineage: Eukaryota; Metazoa; Chordata; Cladistia; Polypteriformes; Polypteridae
Exons: 2
Source: RefSeq, a predicted model, not a curated record